This 224-nucleotide microRNA precursor is filed under the name Paramuricea clavata. The record is from RNAcentral. Lineage: Eukaryota; Metazoa; Cnidaria; Anthozoa; Malacalcyonacea; Plexauridae.
UCCACUGUUGCGUUUUUCAUACGUACGUAUACGCACGUAAAACUUUAAAUCCGUUUAAAUGUUACUUAUACCGGGUAAAAUACAAAAAAAAAAAAAAAGCAACAGAAUUUAGUGUUCCGCAAGUUUUAGUAUGCAUUUGUUAACUUAUUUGUAAAAUAUUUAAAAAAUAGAAGGAUUCAAAGUUUUACGUGCGUGUACGUGCGUACGAAAAACGCAACUGUGGA